AACUUUUAGCAACGGAUCUCUUGGUUCUGGCAUCGAUGAAGAACGCAGCGAAAUGCGAUAAGUAAUGUGAAUUGCAGAAUUCAGUCAAUCAUCGAAUCUUUGAACGCACAUUGCGCCCCUUGGUAUUCCGAGGGGCAUGCCUGUUCGAGCGUCAUUAUAACCACUCAAGCCUCGGCUUGGUCUCGGGGUUCGCGAUCUCGCGGCUCUUAAAAUCAGUGGCAGUGCCGUCUGGCUCUAAGCGUAGUAAUUCUCUCGCUAUAGAGUUCCGGUGGUUACUUGCCAAAACCCCUAAUUUUUUAACGGUUGACCUCGGAUCAGGUAGGGAUACCCGCUGAACUUAAGCAUAUCAAUAAGCGGAGGCU
RNAcentral lists this unclassified non-coding RNA (362 nucleotides) under uncultured Meliniomyces. RNAcentral describes it as "sequence contains ITS2". The stretch from base 1 to 154 matches the Rfam family "5.8S ribosomal RNA". The record is from RNAcentral. Lineage: Eukaryota; Fungi; Ascomycota; Leotiomycetes; Helotiales; Helotiaceae.